ACAAUUUGACCUCAAAUCAGGUAGGAUUACCCGCUGAACUUAAGCAUAUCAAUAAGCGGAGGAAAAGAAACUAACAAGGAUUCCCCUAGUAACUGCGAGUGAA
RNAcentral lists this ribosomal RNA (103 nucleotides) under Arrhenia discorosea. Its description in RNAcentral is "partial 28S ribosomal RNA". It matches the Rfam family "Eukaryotic large subunit ribosomal RNA", at positions 1 to 97 of the family's 3401-position model. The record is from RNAcentral. Lineage: Eukaryota; Fungi; Basidiomycota; Agaricomycetes; Agaricales; Hygrophoraceae.